AAUCAACGCUGGCGGCGCGCUUAACACAUGCAAGUCGCACGAGAAAGUCCGCAAGGAUGAGUAAAGUGGCGCACGGGUGAGUAACACGUGGAUGAUCUACCCUCUAGUGGGGAAUAACCCUGGGAAACCGGGGCUAAUACCGCAUAAGUCCGGGAGGAGAAAGCCGAAAGGCGCUGGAGGAAGAGUCCGCGGUCGAUUAGCUAGUUGGCGGGGUAAAGCCCACCAAGGCUUCGAUCGANAGCCGGCCUGAGAGGGCACACGGCCACACUGGCACUGAAACACGGGCCAGACUCCUACGGGAGGCAGCAGUGGGGAAUCUUGCACAAUGGGGGAAACCCUGAUGCAGCGACGCCGCGUGAGUGAUGAAGCCCUUCGGGUGUAAGACCCUUUCGACGGGAACGAUAAUGACGGUACCCGGAGAAGAAGCUGCGCUAACUACGUGCCA
RNAcentral lists this ribosomal RNA (445 nucleotides) under uncultured bacterium. RNAcentral describes it as "bacterial SSU rRNA". It matches the Rfam family "Bacterial small subunit ribosomal RNA", at positions 29 to 510 of the family's 1533-position model. The record is from RNAcentral.